This 248-nucleotide ribosomal RNA is filed under the name Listeria monocytogenes. RNAcentral describes it as "partial 23S ribosomal RNA". It matches the Rfam family "Bacterial large subunit ribosomal RNA", at positions 45 to 293 of the family's 2925-position model. Lineage: Bacteria; Bacillati; Bacillota; Bacilli; Caryophanales; Listeriaceae. The record is from RNAcentral.
GCCGAAGAAGGACGGGACUAACACCGAUAUGCUUUGGGGAGCUGUACGUAAGCGUUGAUCCAGAGAUUUCCGAAUGGGGGAACCCACUAUCUUUAGUCGGAUAGUAUCCUUACGUGAAUACAUAGCGUGAGGAAGGCAGACCCAGGGAACUGAAACAUCUAAGUACCUGGAGGAAGAGAAAGAAAAAUCGAUUUCCUGAGUAGCGGCGAGCGAAACGGAAAGAGCCCAAACCAAGAAGCUUGCUUCUU